UGGGGAAUAUUGCACAAUGGGGGAAAGCCUGAUGCAGCAACGCCGCGUGGAGGAUGACACAUUUCGGUGCGUAAACUCCUUUUAUAUAGGAAGAUAAUGACGGUACUAUAUGAAUAAGCGCCGGCUAACUCCGUGCCAGCAGCCGCGGUAAUA
RNAcentral lists this ribosomal RNA (153 nucleotides) under uncultured bacterium. Its description in RNAcentral is "partial 16S ribosomal RNA". It matches the Rfam family "Bacterial small subunit ribosomal RNA", at positions 355 to 525 of the family's 1533-position model. The record is from RNAcentral.